RNAcentral lists this ribosomal RNA (292 nucleotides) under uncultured bacterium. Its description in RNAcentral is "partial 16S ribosomal RNA". It matches the Rfam family "Bacterial small subunit ribosomal RNA", at positions 505 to 796 of the family's 1533-position model. The record is from RNAcentral.
GUGCCAGCAGCCGCGGUAAUACGAAGGGGGCUAGCGUUGUUCGGAAUUACUGGGCGUAAAGCGCGCGCAGGCGGCCAGCCAAGUCAGGGGUGAAAGCCCGGAGCUCAACUCCGGAAAUGCCUCUGAAACUGUCUGGCUUGAGUACGGAAGAGGUGAGUGGAAUUCCCAGUGUAGAGGUGAAAUUCGUAGAUAUUGGGAAGAACACCGGUGGCGAAGGCGGCUCACUGGUCCGUUACUGACGCUCAGGCGCGACAGCGUGGGGAUCAAACAGGAUUAGAUACCCCGGUAGUCC